This 429-nucleotide ribosomal RNA is filed under the name bacterium. Its description in RNAcentral is "partial 16S ribosomal RNA". It matches the Rfam family "Bacterial small subunit ribosomal RNA", at positions 355 to 776 of the family's 1533-position model. The record is from RNAcentral.
UGGGGAAUAUUGGACAAUGGGCGAAAGCCUGAUCCAGCCAUGCCGCGUGUGUGAAGAAGGUCUUCGGAUUGUAAAGCACUUUAAGUUGGGAGGAAGGGCAGUAAGCUAAUACCUUGCUGUUUUGACGUUACCGACAGAAUAAGCACCGGCUAACUCUGUGCCAGCAGCCGCGGUAAUACAGAGGGUGCAAGCGUUAAUCGGAAUUACUGGGCGUAAAGCGCGCGUAGGUGGUUCGUUAAGUUGGAUGUGAACUCCCCGGGCUCAACCUGGGAACUGCAUCCAAAACUGGCGAGCUAGAGUAUGGUAGAGGGUGGUGGAAUUUCCUGUGUAGCGGUGAAAUGCGUAGAUAUAGGAAGGAACACCAGUGGCGAAGGCGACCACCUGGACUGAUACUGACACUGAGGUGCGAAAGCGUGGGGAGCAAACAGG